GGGUGACUGCGUACCUUUUGUAUAAUGGGUCAGCGACUUAUAUUCUGUAGCAAGGUUAACCGUAUAGGGGAGCCGCAGGGAAACCGAGUCUUAACUGGGCGUUAAGUUGCAGGGUAUAGACCCGAAACCCGGUGAUCUAGCCAUGGGCAGGUUGAAGGUUGGGUAACACUAACUGGAGGACCGAACCGACUAAUGUUGAAAAAUUAGCGGAUGACUUGUGGCUGGGGGUGAAAGGCCAAUCAAACCGGGAGAUAGCUGGUUCUCCCCGAAAGCUAUUUAGGUAGCGCCUCGUGAAUUCAUCUUCGGGGGUAGAGCACUGUUUCGGCUAGGGGGUCAUCCCGACUUACCAACCCGAUGCAAACUACGAAUACCGAAGAAUGUUAUCACGGGAGACACACGGCGGGUGCUAACGUCCGUCGUGAAGAGGGAAACAACCCAGACCGCCAGCUAAGGUCCCAAAGUCAUGGUUAAGUGGGAAACGAUGUGGGAAGGCCCAGACAGCCAGGAUGUUGGCUUAGAAGCAGCCAUCAUUUAAAGAAAGCGUAAUAGCUCACUGGUCGAGUCGGCCUGCGCGGAAGAUGUAACGGGGCUAAACCAUGCACCGAAGCUGCGGCAGCGACACUAUGUGUUGUUGGGUAGGGGAGCGUUCUGUAAGCCGUUGAAGGUGGCCUGUGAGGGUUGCUGGAGGUAUCAGAAGUGCGAAUGCUGACAUAAGUAACGAUAAUGCGGGUGAAAAACCCGCACGCCGGAAGACCAAGGGUUCCUGUCCAACGUUAAUCGGGGCAGGGUGAGUCGACCCCUAAGGCGAGGCCGAAAGGCGUAGUCGAUGGGAAACAGGUUAAUAUUCCUGUACUUGGUGUUACUGCGAAGGGGGGACGGAGAAGGCUAUGUUGGCCGGGCGACGGUUGUCCCGGUUUAAGCAUGUAGGCGGAUGUUCCAGGUAAAUCCGGAGCGUCACUAACGCUGAGGUGUGAUGACGAGGCACUACGGUGCUGAAGUGACAAAUGCCCUGCUUCCAGGAAAAGCCUCUAAGCAUCAGGUAACAUCAAAUCGUACCCCAAACCGACACAGGUGGUCAGGUAGAGAAUACCAAGGCGCUUGAGAGAACUCGGGUGAAGGAACUAGGCAAAAUGGUGCCGUAACUUCGGGAGAAGGCACGCUGAUGGUAGGUGAAGUGACUUGCUCAUGGAGCUGAAAUCAGUCGAAGAUACCAGCUGGCUGCAACUGUUUAUUAAAAACACAGCACUGUGCAAACACGAAAGUGGACGUAUACGGUGUGACGCCUGCCCGGUGCCGGAAGGUUAAUUGAUGGGGUUAUCCUCGCGGAGAAGCUCUUGAUCGAAGCCCCGGUAAACGGCGGCCGUAACUAUAACGGUCCUAAGGUAGCGAAAUUCCUUGUCGGGUAAGUUCCGACCUGCACGAAUGGCGUAAUGAUGGCCAGGCUGUCUCCACCCGAGACUCAGUGAAAUUGAACUCGCUGUGAAGAUGCAGUGUACCCGCGGCAAGACGGAAAGACCCCGUGAACCUUUACUAUAGCUUGACACUGAACACUGGUCCUUGAUGUGUAGGAUAGGUGGGAGGCUUUGAAGUGUGGACGCCAGUCUGCAUGGAGCCAUCCUUGAAAUACCACCCUUUAAUGGCUGGUGUUCUAACGUGGGCCCGUGAUCCGGGUUGCGGACAGUGUCUGGUGGGUAGUUUGACUGGGGCGGUCUCCUCCUAAAGAGUAACGGAGGAGCACGAAGGUCAGCUAAUCCUGGUCGGACAUCAGGAGGUUAGUGCAAUGGCAUAAGCUGGCUUGACUGCGAGCGUGACGGCGCGAGCAGGUGCGAAAGCAGGUCAUAGUGAUCCGGUGGUUCUGAAUGGAAGGGCCAUCGCUCAACGGAUAAAAGGUACUCCGGGGAUAACAGGCUGAUACCGCCCAAGAGUUCAUAUCGACGGCGGUGUUUGGCACCUCGAUGUCGGCUCAUCACAUCCUGGGGCUGAAGUAGGUCCCAAGGGUAUGGCUGUUCGCCAUUUAAAGUGGUACGCGAGCUGGGUUUAGAACGUCGUGAGACAGUUCGGUCCCUAUCUGCCGUGGGCG
Molecule: ribosomal RNA, 2080 nt
Filed under: human gut metagenome
Description: bacterial LSU rRNA
Rfam family: Bacterial large subunit ribosomal RNA
Source: RNAcentral